AUUCAUAAAUAAAUUCAUAAAAUUCAUAAUCAAAUAUUAUGUUUGAUUUUAAGAAAAAUAAAUAGAAAAAAAAUUCAAAAAUUAGGAUGACAAUUGAUAAUAAUUUCGAUCGACAUGAAAUCCAUGAAAUUACGUGUCAUGUUAUUUGUGCUGCAUCGUUGACAAUAAAGUGAUAAGUAGAAAUUUAAGUAGUUAUGUGAGAAACCGAAAAUUGUUGAAAGACAGUGAAAGGUGUAUUUGUAUGCAUAUGAGAAUUCUCACACUUUCAUUCUGCUUCGCAAAAACUAGUUGUUCGACAUCAUAGAGAAGAGAUCGUGGCGGUAAAGUCGGAAUGGAAAUUCUCAUAAAUUAUUUCGUGCAGUGAAAUCGUUGUUUCAUAAAAUUUUCAUUAAACAAGUGAUACAAUUUCUCUAUUCUUAUUUUCAUGGUAAUAUCGUUCUCUCAUAAUAAUAAUAAUAAUAAUAAUAUUUUUGUGUGAAAUUAAAAUAAAAUGUUGUAUUCACGGGAUAAAUAACAAGUGUUUCUAAGGAUUCUUUUUCUAAAAGAUAAUAGAAGAUACUUUUUUUUCAAAAAAAACUUAAAGUCUUCCUAUUAUUGUUUGCCAAAGAAUAGGAAGAUUCGUGUCUUUGAUUCUAUAUACGAUGAAUCUUUUCCGCUUAAUAUUCCAUUCCACACCUUGCGUGUUUUGUUCGAAUUUACAGUACAGAAGAGGAGAAUAAAAAAUUCCGCGUUUAGAAUGCGCACAUUCGAAAGACGCGUGCCGUCUUUACAUUCGAUUCAUUAGUAGGAAGGUAGUGGGGGUAACGUCGGCUAUCGCCGAUAGACGGCGUGCGGCGGAGCAGUUCAUUUCUGUAAUGGCCGCCGUCUGGCGUUGUCGGUGAAUCGGUCUCUUUCAGAAUCUCGCGAAGAAAAAUUUGCACAACAUUAUCGUUCACGAAAAUCCAGUGUACAGUAAUCCACGUAACAAGAGGUGUGGAGUUCGCUCGUGCAUAGUGCGUAUGGUGGUGUAUAAUUGUGACUCCAGGGUGGACGGUCGAUCGAAAAAAUUCAAAUCGGAUGUGCGUGGUGUCCCACUGUUUACUCGACCCACCGAUCGUUCAGAUUCGUGGUAGAUUAAAAAAAUCGUGCUAGUAAGAGGAAGAAUUGCAGAUCGAGAUCGCACGAUAUGCAAUCGAACAUCAUCGAUCAACGUCGAGUCGUGUCGGAGUCUCGCGAUUCCCUCGAACCGACGUUCGCCUUCGGACAGUAAACAAAAGUGACAGCGUGCGGAUGCCGUUCGGUCAUGCCUCCCGUCUCGUUCGUGUUUGCCGACAGUAUUUGACGUCUUGUUCUUCUGCGAGCUCGAAUUCCCUCACGUGGUUCAAGGUCUUCUAAAAUCAACUUAACGUCACGUUGCCAACAGACCCAGUGAGUUUCAUGCCACUUUCGCGAUCGAAUGUAUUAUCUCGAGUGUGUUGUCACUGACAGCAACGCCGAGCGCGCUUUUCCCGGUUUUCGUUUGUGUUCUCGUGUAUUCUCCAAGGACUUGGUGCCAGAAUUUUCGACACGAAGGACAUCGUAUCUUCAUAGAGCAUAAAGCAAAAGGAAAUCACUGUAUCAAUACAUCAAUCUCGGUUUUGCAGAGAAAUCUCCUUCCGUAUUUCGAGAACGCUCGAAGAGGUGAAGAGAGAUGUGCCAAGUUGCGUCGUUGCGGAUGUUCCACGUGCUCCCCGAGUUCAUCGACGCCUUGUCGCACUGCGUCCCGUGCUAGGACCAUGUCCUAGCGAUACAUUCGACCCGCCCACCCACUGCCAGAGAACAGAGAGCGGCUUAAAAUUUCUUAAAUGUGAUCCGUACAACAACUCGCGACAACGCUCGUCGAACUCGUCGAAUCGUCCCUGAGAUGCCGGCCCUCGAGGACGCAGCUCGCCGAGUGUCGGCGUCACCACAACAAGACUGAGCCACGACCCGUGUAAUGCGGCGC
Molecule: long non-coding RNA, 1963 nt
Organism: Apis florea (little honeybee)
Lineage: Eukaryota; Metazoa; Arthropoda; Insecta; Hymenoptera; Apidae
Gene: cdi
Source: RefSeq, a predicted model, not a curated record